This 601-nucleotide long non-coding RNA is filed under the name Amborella trichopoda. RNAcentral's name for it is "long non-coding RNA (ATRI_LNC003736)". The record is from RNAcentral. Lineage: Eukaryota; Viridiplantae; Streptophyta; Magnoliopsida; Amborellales; Amborellaceae.
AUGGGUUUACUACAUGCCUUAACACAAUUGAAUUAGAUCUUGAGACCAUCACCCCUACUGUCCUAACAUGCUAAGAAAAGAAAAAGAAAUAACAAAAAUCAGAAUGGUCAUGAUGCCAUCCACAUCUUAUUCAUGAUCAAAAUAGAAAGAAAAGAAAAAAGGCUUAUUCCUACUCCUUAGACUGGGUUCUCUUUCUUUCUCUUUGAAAGAAGCCACAAAAGCUGCCCAUCAGGCUAGUUCAACCUUGACUUCCUCUAAACUAAUGUCAGUUAAUUCCUCACUGGAUGGCUUGUUGCUAGAAGAAGAUAUAUCAGCAGCAUGAGAAGACACAUGAUCCUUACUAGGGGUAGAAGACUCGCCUUGAGACACCAGAGCCUGGGGACACAGGGAAAGAGGACAAGCGUGCUCCCAUCAAGAAUUGUUAUUGGUAGUUGUCAUAAACUUGUCCUGCUUCACCAAACCCUCAUCUGUGGGAGAUUUCUUCCCCUUUCAAGAUAGGCCCACCUUACCAAGAAGGUUGGAGGAGUGUUGCUUUAGAGGAAAAAUGGGACGGCAGUCAAUGGCCUCCCCAACAGAAGUAUAAUUCUGGAUAAACCAAAAC